GCUUAUGGUCAUACCACCAUUUCUGCGCACAAUCUCGUCUAGUCUUGGAAGCUAAGCAGGGUCGGGUCUGUUUAGUACUUGGAUGGGAGACUGCCUGGGAAUAACAGGUGCUGUAAGCU
Molecule: ribosomal RNA, 119 nt
Filed under: Sinocyclocheilus grahami
Lineage: Eukaryota; Metazoa; Chordata; Actinopteri; Cypriniformes; Cyprinidae
Source: RNAcentral